Molecule: ribosomal RNA, 305 nt
Filed under: uncultured bacterium
Lineage: Bacteria
Description: bacterial SSU rRNA
Rfam family: Bacterial small subunit ribosomal RNA
Source: RNAcentral
UCCUACGGGGGGCAGCAGUGGGGAAUAUUGCACAAUGGGCGAAAGCCUGAUGCAGCAACGCCGCGUGAAGGAAGACGGUUUUCGGAUUGUAAACUUCUGUUCUUAGUGAAGAGUAAUGACGGUAACUAAGGAGCAAGCCACGGCUAACUACGUGCCAGCAGCCGCGGUAAUACGUAGGGAGCAAGCGUUAUCCGGAUUUAUUGGGUGUAAAGGGUGCGUAGACGGGAAAUUAAGUUAGUUGUGAAAUCCCUCGGCUCAACUGAGGAACUGCAACUAAAACUGAUUUUCUUGAGUGCAGGAGAGGU